GCCUGAGUAGCUCAGUGGUUAGAGCGUUCGUUUCAUAAGCGAAAAGUCGUGGGUUCGAUUCCCACCUUAGGCA
RNAcentral lists this transfer RNA (73 nucleotides) under Candidatus Pacearchaeota archaeon. RNAcentral's name for it is "tRNA-Met". It matches the Rfam family "tRNA". From Rfam's summary of the family: Transfer RNA (tRNA) molecules are approximately 80 nucleotides in length. Their secondary structure includes four short double-helical elements and three loops (D, anti-codon, and T loops). RNAcentral also lists the same sequence under 1 other name. Lineage: Archaea; Nanobdellati. The record is from RNAcentral.